Molecule: ribosomal RNA, 434 nt
Filed under: uncultured Lachnospiraceae bacterium
Lineage: Bacteria; Bacillati; Bacillota; Clostridia; Lachnospirales; Lachnospiraceae
Description: bacterial SSU rRNA
Rfam family: Bacterial small subunit ribosomal RNA
Source: RNAcentral
ACGGGAGGCAGCAGUGGGGAAUAUUGGACAAUGGGGGAAACCCUGAUCCAGCGACGCCGCGUGAGUGAAGAAGUAUUUCGGUAUGUAAAGCUCUAUCAGCAAGGAAGAAAAUGACGGUACUUGACUAAGAAGCUCCGGCUAAAUACGUGCCAGCAGCCGCGGUAAUACGUAUGGAGCAAGCGUUAUCCGGAUUUACUGGGUGUAAAGGGAGCGUAGACGGCGAAGCAAGUCUGAAGUGAAAUGCCGGGGCUUAACCCCGGAACUGCUUUGGAAACUGUUUUGCUAGAGUGCAGGAGAGGUAAGCGGAAUUCCUAGUGUAGCGGUGAAAUGCGUAGAUAUUAGGAAGAACACCGGUGGCGAAGGCGGCCUGCUGGACGACAACUGACGCUGAGGCGCGAAAGCGUGGGGAGUAAACAGGAUUAGAUACCCUGGUA